AUGUCCUCCUUUUCUGUUUCAGAUCCUGCUUCUCAGUCAAAUAAUGGUGGAGUAUGCAACUUUUGUGACCCUUCCACUGGUCAGUGCUCCUCCACAUUACAGUGUCAGGGAGUGGAGAACCAAUGCUUCCAAUCAACCAUCAAAAGCAGCACCAGCACGUAUCCAGCUCAGGGCUGCGCAUCUGCAAACCUGUGUGCAGCUGCUUCGAGCCUGGGAUCUCUACCUUUCAUGCAGAGCGUUGGUACCGUAUCAGGUGUUGCCUGUUCUGCAGCACCAACUACAACUGCUGCCCCGACUACAACCACCGCCCCAACUACAACUACAACCACCACCCCAACUACAACUACAACCACCGCCCCAACAACAACUACAACCUCCGCCGCAACAACAACCACCACACCAACUACCACCCCAACUACAACCACAACCACCGCCGCAACAACAACCACCGUCCCAGCUACAACUACAACCACCGCCGCAACAACAACCACCGCCGCAACCACAACCACCGCUGCAACCACCACCGCAACUACAACCACCGCCCCAACUACAACCACUGUACCAACUACAACCACCGUCCCAACUACAACUACAACCACCGUACCAACUACAACCACUGCCGCAACUACAACCACUGCCGCAACUACAACCACCGCCCCAACUACAACCACCGCCACAUCUGCAACCACCACCCCAACAACAACUACAACUACCGCCACAACUACAACUACCGUCCCAACUACAACUACAACCACCACAGCAAGUACAACCACAACCACCGCUGCAACUACAACUACCACCCCAACAACAUCUACAACCACCUCCACAACUACAACCCCCACUACAACUACAACCCCCACUACAACUACAACCCCCACAACUACAACCCCCACUACAACCCCCACUACAACCACCGUCCCAACUACAACCAGUACAACUACACCCACAACCACUCCCCCAACUACAACCACCGCCACAACUACCACCACCGCCACAACUAUGACUACAUCCACCGUCCCAACUAUGACUACAACCACUACCCCAACUACGACUACAACCACUACCCCAACUCCAACCUCAUCCGCCAUUACAGCUAUAACUGCUACAUCAACUGCAACCACUGCCUCUACAACCAAAAGUGACGCUUGUUCUAUCAGACUGGGAAUGAUCCAUCUGCUGCUUGGACUCCUUCUCUUUACUUGUCAUUAAAGUCCCAAAUAAAACAAAAAUAAAC
This 1234-nucleotide long non-coding RNA is filed under the name Oreochromis niloticus (Nile tilapia). RNAcentral's name for it is "lncRNA (ENSONIG00000039033.1)". The record is from RNAcentral. Lineage: Eukaryota; Metazoa; Chordata; Actinopteri; Cichliformes; Cichlidae.